ACUGCUUUACUUUCAAUCUUCCCUCAUUGAGGUUGGCCCGAUAAGCUCUUAAUACGUUUCAUGCUUAUCGGGCUUUUUAUU
This 81-nucleotide small RNA is filed under the name Leminorella richardii. RNAcentral's name for it is "RybB RNA". It matches the Rfam family "RybB RNA". Rfam says of the family: This ncRNA was identified in a large scale screen of E. coli. The function of this short RNA is unknown. Lineage: Bacteria; Pseudomonadati; Pseudomonadota; Gammaproteobacteria; Enterobacterales; Budviciaceae. The record is from Rfam by way of RNAcentral.